Molecule: unclassified non-coding RNA, 231 nt
Filed under: uncultured Basidiomycota
Lineage: Eukaryota; Fungi; Basidiomycota
Description: sequence contains ITS1
Source: RNAcentral
UUGAAUAAACUCGGUGGGUUGCUGCUGACUCUUCGGAGUAUGUGCACACCUGCUUCUGUUUCUUCUUUCACCACCUGUGCACUCUUUGUAGGCUUGGAGUACCUCUCGAGGUAACUCGGAUUUGGAACUGUUCUCGAGACUGUUCCUGUUAUUCCAGCCUAUGUUUUUUCUAUCAUAUACACAUGUUUAUAGAAUGUAUAUACAGGCCGUCACAAGCCUAUAAAAUCUAUA